RNAcentral lists this transfer RNA (84 nucleotides) under Microbotryum lychnidis-dioicae. RNAcentral describes it as "tRNA-Ser". It matches the Rfam family "tRNA". From Rfam's summary of the family: Transfer RNA (tRNA) molecules are approximately 80 nucleotides in length. Lineage: Eukaryota; Fungi; Basidiomycota; Microbotryomycetes; Microbotryales; Microbotryaceae. RNAcentral also lists the same sequence under 1 other name. The record is from RNAcentral.
GGACAAGUUGCCUAUUGGAAAGGGUGAGCUGAUUGCUAUUCGGUGUACAUUUAUGUACAGUAGGUUCGAAUCCUAUCUUGUCUG